ACAGCAGCAGCCGCCACGGUAAGACAGAGGAUGCAAGCGUUAUCCGGAAUGAUUGGGCGUAAAGCGUGCGUAGGCGGCUUCUUAAGUCGGAUGUGAAAUCCCUGAGCUUAACUUAGGAAUUGCAUUCGAUACUGGGAAGCUAGAGUAUGGGAGAGGAUGGUAGAAUUCCAGGUGUAGCGGUGAAAUGCGUAGAGAUCUGGAGGAAUACCGAUGGCGAAGGCAGCCAUCUGGCCUAAUACUGACGCUGAGGUACGAAAGCAUGGGGAGCAAACAGGAUUAGAUACCCCUGUAGUCCCUGUCUCUUA
Molecule: ribosomal RNA, 305 nt
Filed under: uncultured bacterium
Lineage: Bacteria
Description: partial 16S ribosomal RNA
Rfam family: Bacterial small subunit ribosomal RNA
Source: RNAcentral